AGCGACUGUGUCAUAGUGAAUGCCAUUGUUAAUUAAUCCGACUGCGUUUGCGCUUAGAAGAAGAUCAGUUCGCUGCCACGGGCGAUAUUGGUCGUAAUGUCUGUGUCGGGCGAUAAGCGUGUGAAAUAUCAUGGUAUAACGGUGAACUAUCUGACGUACGUGAAACGAGAUGUGAGGCAUGAGUAUGAUGGAUAAAAAACAGUUUAAAAUUGGUGCUCCAUGGUAGUCGUCAUCGUGUGUACUGAGCCACUGUUGUCAGCAACAUUUUAAAACACCGACAGCAAAAUAACGACGCCUAGGGGUACUAUACCAGAGAUCGACGAAGCGAUCGACCAAAUAUCUUCCUUUCUGGAUUCGAUGACGAACUUUAUUCCAUUCUGGUACCACUUACGGUUUACAUCCGUAAUUUUACAACCUUGCUCCAUGCUUGCGAUGCUAAAAUCCACGCAGCUGUGAGACCGAGAGACCCUCCGUUCCGACCCAGAAUUCAGGACGCUUUGAGCAACGAACCACAAAACUCGUGUCACCGACGCGAUGUUAUGAUAAACAGAUUUUCAGCUACCAAG
Molecule: unclassified non-coding RNA, 566 nt
Filed under: Bombus terrestris (buff-tailed bumblebee)
Lineage: Eukaryota; Metazoa; Arthropoda; Insecta; Hymenoptera; Apidae
Description: misc RNA ENSBTSG00005021864.1
Source: RNAcentral